Molecule: ribosomal RNA, 791 nt
Filed under: Argyraspodes argyraspis
Lineage: Eukaryota; Metazoa; Arthropoda; Insecta; Lepidoptera; Lycaenidae
Description: eukaryotic LSU rRNA
Rfam family: Eukaryotic large subunit ribosomal RNA
Source: RNAcentral
ACUCGAAUGAACGAACGGAGGGAUUCAUCGUCAUUCGGCGGCGUACGGACGCGUUCCCCGAUGCUUGUUGAUCGUUCACGCGAUUCGGCUAGCACGGGACGCGUCCGUCGACGUCCGCCGACGGCGUGCACUUCCCUCUCAGUAAUGCAUCGCGACCCGUUCGGGGUCGGUCUAAGCUUCGUCCGGGAGUACGGUGGCGUCUGUCUCGCGAUUGACCGCCGCCGUACCGUGACGGUUGCCGACCGGCCGUUGCGGACGGUAUCAAUGAUGGAAACAGAAUACGCUCUCGAAGCGAAUCGCGCACGCGUUCUCAUGCGCGUCCGGCCCGACGCAAGCGUACGCUCGACGUCGUCGUCCUGCCCAAGUGCGGACGUCGGCUCGGCGUUGCUGUACAUAUGUCGCUGCCGUGCAGUCUCGGACUGUGCGCGUCUCCGUCUGCGAUGAUUCCGUUUCGGGCACUCGCAGGACCCGUCUUGAAACACGGACCAAGGAGUCUAGCAUGUGUGCGAGUCAUUGAGUUUGAAUUCAAUUUACACAAAACUGAAAGGCGUAACGAAAGUGAAGGCGUGCGCUCACCGCGCGCGCUCAGGGAGGAUGGAGCCUCGGUCUCGAUCGAACUCUCGCACUCCCGAGGCGUCUCGUUUCCAAUCAGUGAAUGCAGGCGCGCUCCGAGCACAGAUGCUGGGACCCGAAAGAUGGUGAACUAUGCCUGGUCAGGUCGAAGUCAGGGGAAACCCUGAUGGAGGACCGUAGCGAUUCUGACGUGCAAAUCGAUCGUCGGAACUGGGUAU